Molecule: non-coding RNA, 800 nt
Organism: Petromyzon marinus (sea lamprey)
Lineage: Eukaryota; Metazoa; Chordata; Hyperoartia; Petromyzontiformes; Petromyzontidae
Source: RefSeq, a predicted model, not a curated record
ACUUUACCGAAAGAACCAAAGAGUAACGUGAGCUAUAUGUAUAUACACACACGCACACACACGAGUCUCUUCAUAUACCGUGUGCACACUGGCCCAUGGAAGCAAGCACACGCGCGCGUGUGCGUCGCAGAUAUAAAACGUUGGGAGAGAGAAACGAUGGGGACCGCGUUGAGACAGAAUGUGCGAUAGCCCCACUUUCCGCCACGUGCCCGAACGACCCCGAGACAGCAACACGUGCCUUCACGUCCACAGUGCUCCCUCUGUGAUAUCUCCGUCAUCGGCAACGAUGUUCACCGUCAAAUGCAUCAUCUCGAAGAAGUUCAUGAAUCUGAGGACCAACAAAGACAACUUCCUUUAUCUUCGCUUCACCUAACCUUGGAAAGUUUCCACGGAGGCUACAAGAUCACCUUCCAUGAAGAAGAAUGGGACAAGAUCCUUUUGACGGUCACAAAACAUGGAAACCCUAACAUUCCACUGGAGAUUCUACUGCUGCAGUCUGGAGCCCAACAGCUCUGCCUUACUCUUGGGUAGGUCCAAUCCCUGACAAGGUCUUUCAGUUCAGCUUGUGUUAUGAGAUGUGGUUCAGAGGAGGAGGAUGGGAGAAAAUCUGGGUCAUGUGACCUUGAUCGUUCAGGACCAGAAGUUUCAUCCUCUUCCUCGUCUGACUCAAGUGAGGAUGAUUCCGGUGCAUCAGGAACCGGCAAUCCUUGUCCAUGGGGUACCUGGCAUAUAGCUAAUGGAAUGUUUGGAUAAUGCACAGUCCACUUUGUCUUCUUUGACACACCUUUCCCAACUGGAGG